Molecule: long non-coding RNA, 277 nt
Organism: Acromyrmex echinatior (Panamanian leafcutter ant)
Lineage: Eukaryota; Metazoa; Arthropoda; Insecta; Hymenoptera; Formicidae
Source: RefSeq, a predicted model, not a curated record
UUGAUCGUCGCCGACUCGACGAUUCAAUGCACGCGCGCGAUACACGUAGAUAAGAAUUAAGAAUUUACUAAGUUGCUCGCCGUGAAUACGUUGUAUAUGCGUGGGUCAGAGCUGUUACCGCUAAACUGCGUGUGCUAUUUUAGCGGUCAGUGCGCUAAGCAGAGCUUCGAUUUGGAGACAAUUGGAGAGGGGGAGGAGGUCUUGGAGAGACAUCGGGCAUCGGUGGAGGAACUUUGUGAUCAACGUAGUAAAUAACUCCACUGUUGCGCAUCGGUCG